GGAGCCCGGCGGACGCUGGGUCUGCAGAUGCCAUCCAGGCGCACGGCGGGUAUAGUGGUUCCGCAACCUUGGGAUGUUCGGCUGAGCGCCUGCCUAACAUGGGAGCGCCUGCCUAACCCUCCUGACUGGAGGGUCAGCGGCGGGGAGUCCUGGCCUUCAAUCGGCCAUCGCCACGGCAGAAACUGGGGCCCGGGCUGCGUCCAGGCCCUUCCCCGUCCGUCCACAGGUCUCAUGGGCGCCCGGACUGGGGCUGAUGUAGUUUCCCGACCUCUGACACAUAGGAUCUGGAGAUUAAAGCUGCUCUGCUAAUAAUUAGGUUCCCACCUCUCAAGAUCAUUAGGAGCUUCUUUUCCAAUUCCUCUGUUUUGCAUGCAUUGGAAGGAUCUGGAGCUCAGGACCCACUACCUCCCCGGCCCACUGCAAGCUUGAACAUUUGAUGGUGGACACCCCUCCCUGACUUUGUAUUAUGUGUCACUGGUGUGGGGGUUACCUUCCCACUAUGUCUCCCAGAAGACAUGAGGGCACAGACUACAGUGCCUGUGGACAGAGGAGCUGUGGGGAUGGAAGUGUGAUUGCUUCAUUCAAAUGCACGCCCCGGUGCGUGUGCGUCUCUUCUGAUGCAGCUCCCCAUGGAUUCACAGGCUGCUCCCCAGAAUACUGAAGAAGAAACUCUAGGAGUGAGACCCAACAAUCUGUGUUUAACAAGUCCCCAGGCCCCUGGAUCCUCCUGGAAUCCCUGAUCCCUGUUGCUCCCUGGCGGAGUUUUCUAGUCCCUCUUACUUGAAGCAUGUCUUUCAGAGCCCGGCACCACCCAAGUUGGGUAUCUGCUACACCUCUAUGGUAUUUUUUUCACCUCAUAUCAUACCUUCCUCCCUCACUGGACUUCAGUGUGGGACCUGCAGGUCUCAGGCCUUCUGGGAAGUCCCAGCUUUUCUUGAAUGUUCUCUCUCUCUGGCCAGCUCAGGCUGGAGCAGUGGGUGUUGGUGCCAUCCUGUGGCUAUAGGUGAUAAGCCGGCUGUUCUUCACUGACCUGGUCUUACCUUGAACCCUGGAGUUCUCACAUGCAUGGAUUUAAAUGCUGUGUCUUUCUAAGGGCACAUUAUGGCCAUUUUCCUUAUCUCCCUCCCAAGGGGCUGUUUCCUGUAUUUAUUGACUCCCUGUUUAAAAAAAAUAUAUGUAUAUAUAGACAAAUUGGAUUGUACCCCAUAAACUGCAUGUUUUAAAAAUACUUCAAAGAAUAGUUUUUCAUUUUUUUCUUGCUGGUUUUUAUGUAUCUUCUAAAUUGUAUAUAUUUAUGGGGUAUAAAAUGAUGUUGUGAUUUUUCAAUACAGUGUGGAAUGAGAAUCAAAUUAACCUAUCCGUUACCUCAAGUACUUGACUUUUUUUGUGAUGAGAAGGCUGUUUAUCACUUUCACUCACCAGCUCCUGCUGUCUUCCAUGCUGGGGACAGGAAAGGCUCCACGCUUGACUUUCCCUCCUGUUUUCUUAUCUGCUGUCAACCCCUGAAUGUACCCUCCAGGAUUGACUUCUAGACCUUCUACAUCUAGCUCGAUCGUUGUGCACCCACCUUCCUCCCAGGGACUGUCCUUAGGGAGUGACUUUAUGCACAAACUUCACAUGCUCUUCCUGCCUCCUUCAUCCCCAGAAGCCCCCAUCUCAGCCCCAUCUGAUUAUUUCCUCCCUCUCUCAUUUCCUGUUAUGCUGUUGGUUUUCUAACCUGAAGGGUAACUUCUUACUCCUUAGUUUUUUGCCUUAAUUUCUAAGUCAUAGGCUACUUUCAGGCUAAAAGUUUUCCUCCAGCCAUGGUUUUAGUCUCAUUCUAUAAGUCUUGCUAGGUAGUUUAUUCAUUGGAAAUUUUUUGUUUUUGAGACAGAGUCUCGCUCUAUCACCCAGGCUGUAGUACAGUGGUGCCAUCUCAGCUCACUGCAACCUCCGGUUCCCGGGCUCAAGCAGUUCUCUUUCCUCAGCCUCCUGAGUAGCUGGGAUUAUGGGUGCCUGCCACCACACCCAGCUAAUUUUUGUAUUUUUAGCAGAGACGGCAUUUCACCAUGUCAGCCAGGUUGGUCUCGAACUCUUGACCUCAAGUGAUCCGCCCGCCUUGGCCUCCCAAAAUACUGGGAUUACAGGGGUGAGUCACCGCACCCCACCCCUUGGCACUAUAUUUAAGUGAUGAUAUUUUUGGACACUGAGGUAGCCUCAUUCCACAGGUUUAGAUCUGAAGCAUUUUCACUAUUGCUUCUUUCCAUGUAUUUCCUGGUUUGCAGGUCAGUUUCUUCUUUUAAUUCAUCAUUGACACAGUGGUUUAUAUGGCUUUUAAUUUCAAAAGAUUUUUUAAAAUAUCUUUUUGCCGAUUUUUAUCUAUGUUAAUUUUAACUAGACAUGUUCCCUGGAAGGACAUCACUAGUUUUUUUUUUUUUUUUCCCUCUGUUUAUAAUUUAGGUGGAUUUUCACAUCUCAAGCCAGCUAAGAGUAUGGGAAAUAGGACUCGUUAAAGCACAGGUAUCACACAAGUGAUUCAGAUUCACGAGGGUAAUCCAGAUGAAGGUAUAUCAUUGUACCUGGCCCGCAUCACUCAAUAACUGUCACCUUUGAUUUAUUGAUUUACUUGAGAUGGAGUUUGGUUCUGUCCCCGAGGCCGGAGUGCAAUGGCGUGAUCUCUGCUCACUACAACCUCUGCCUCCCAGGUUCAGAGUGAUUCUCCUGCCUCAGCCUCUUUAGCUGGGAUUACAGGCACCCACCAACAUGCCCAGCUAAUUUUUGUAUUUUUAGUAGAGAGGAGCUUUCACCAUAAUGGCCAGGCUGGUCUUGAACCUCAAAUGAUCUGCCCACCUUGGCCUCCCAAAGUGCUAGGAUUACAGGCUGGAGCUACGGAGCCCAGCCUGUCACCUUGAUUUAAAUGAAUGCAGCUUUCUUGGUGUCUUGAUGUUUGUGAAUUUCUGUGGAGUUUGAUACUGCUCCUUUUGCUGCUUGUUUUUCCAGAGUCCCCUUAUCACUUGACGUGCUGUUAUAUUAUGUUUGAUUUAUUACAGAUACCCCAUCAGCCUGAGUCUCUUAAAGGCCUUUAUACACAUAUGUCUACACAUAGGGAUUUGGAUGAUCUCGGGAUCCCACAUCCUCGCUGUCCCCUGUCCCCCCACAACAUCCCACACCAAUACCUUUCUGAAGUUUUCUAGUCCCUCCUUUUUGUUUGUGGUCCUUAAAGCCCAGCCCCAUGCCUGACUUUGGUUCCCAGUGAGCAUUGUACAUUUGUGGAUAUUAAAUCUUUGGCAAAGUCAUUU
This 3278-nucleotide long non-coding RNA is filed under the name Homo sapiens (human). RNAcentral describes it as "HSALNT0397815". Lineage: Eukaryota; Metazoa; Chordata; Mammalia; Primates; Hominidae. The record is from RNAcentral.